This 497-nucleotide ribosomal RNA is filed under the name Uraecha bimaculata bimaculata. RNAcentral describes it as "partial 16S rRNA". It matches the Rfam family "Bacterial large subunit ribosomal RNA", at positions 1798 to 2568 of the family's 2925-position model. The record is from RNAcentral. Lineage: Eukaryota; Metazoa; Arthropoda; Insecta; Coleoptera; Cerambycidae.
GCCUGUUUAUCAAAAACAUGGCCUUUUGAUUAUAAUUUAAGGUCUGGCCUGCCCACUGAAUUUUAAAGGGCCGCGGUAAUUUGACCGUGCUAAGGUAGCAUAAUCAUUAGUUUUUUAAUUGGAAGCUAGAAUGAAUGGUCGGAUGAAAAAAUAACUGUCUUUAUUUAAUUUAUAUUGAAUUUUAUUUUUAAGUUAAAAAGCUUAAGUAUUUUUUAAAGACGAGAAGACCCUAUAGAGUUUGAUAAAACUAAUUUAUUAAUAUUUUUAGGAAUAUUAUUUUAAUAGGCAAGUUUUAUUUGAUUGGGGUGAUUGUAAAAUUUAAUAAACUUUUAUUGUUUCAUACCAUAAAUUUAUGAUUUUUUGAUCCAAUAAUAUUGAUUAUAAGAUUAAAUUACCUUAGGGAUAACAGCGUAANCUUUUUUAAGAGUUCUAAUCGAAAAAAAAGUUUGCGACCUCGAUGUUGGAUUAAAAUUAAUUUUUGGUGUAGGGGCUAAGAA